Molecule: ribosomal RNA, 465 nt
Filed under: Vreelandella stevensii
Lineage: Bacteria; Pseudomonadati; Pseudomonadota; Gammaproteobacteria; Oceanospirillales; Halomonadaceae
Description: partial 16S ribosomal RNA
Rfam family: Bacterial small subunit ribosomal RNA
Source: RNAcentral
CCUACGGGCGGCAGCAGUGGGGAAUAUUGGACAAUGGGGGCAACCCUGAUCCAGCCAUGCCGCGUGUGUGAAGAAGGCCCUCGGGUUGUAAAGCACUUUCAGUGAGGAAGAACGCCUGGUGGUUAAUACCCAUCAGGAAAGACAUCACUCACAGAAGAAGCACCGGCUAACUCCGUGCCAGCAGCCGCGGUAAUACGGAGGGUGCGAGCGUUAAUCGGAAUUACUGGGCGUAAAGCGCGCGUAGGUGGCUUGAUAAGCCGGUUGUGAAAGCCCCGGGCUCAACCUGGGAACGGCAUCCGGAACUGUCCAGCUAGAGUGCAGGAGAGGAAGGUAGAAUUCCCGGUGUAGCGGUGAAAUGCGUAGCGAUCGGGAGGAAUACCAGUGGCGAAGGCGGCCUUCUGGACUGACACUGACACUGAGGUGCGAAAGCGUGGGUAGCAAACAGGAUUAGAUACCCUUGUAGUA